RNAcentral lists this ribosomal RNA (461 nucleotides) under uncultured bacterium. RNAcentral's name for it is "bacterial SSU rRNA". It matches the Rfam family "Bacterial small subunit ribosomal RNA", at positions 343 to 797 of the family's 1533-position model. The record is from RNAcentral.
CGGAGGCAGCAGUAGGGAAUCUUCCGCAAUGGACGAAAGUCUGACGGAGCAACGCCGCGUGAGUGAUGAAGGUUUUCGGAUCGUAAAGCUCUGUUGCCAGGGAAGAACACUUGGGAGAGUAACUGCUCUCAAGGUGACGGUACCUGAGAAGAAAGCCCCGGCUAACUACGUGCCAGCAGCCGCGGUAAUACGUAGGGGGCAAGCGUUGUCCGGAAUUAUUGGGCGUAAAGCGCGCGCAGGCGGUCAUUUAAGUUUGGUGUUUAAUCCCGGAGCUCAACUCCGGGUCGCACUGGAAACUGGGUGACUUGAGUACAGAAGAGGAGAGUGGAAUUCCACGUGUAGCGGUGAAAUGCGUAGAUAUGUGGAGGAACACCAGUGGCGAAGGCGACUCUCUGGGCUGUAACUGACGCUGAGGCGCGAAAGCGUGGGGAGCAAACAGGAUUAGAUACCCCCGUAGUCCA